UCAGAUUAAGUAAUUGAGAUUAAGGAUAUCUCAUUCUAGAGUUUUCAGCUCUGUUUCUUUAAAUAUGUAACAAGAAAUUAACUGGUAUGAAACUAGUCUAAGUUUAUACCAUAUGUAAUGAUGGAAUGGAUUCAUGUCUCCCACAAUACAGAUGGUUACUGUCCGGAUGUAGGUGUUCUAAUCCAGGCAUUUCUUGGUGCUGGAUAUUAUACUGUUGGAUUUGAUCUAAACAAAGCUAGCCUGACUAAUGAAAAAUCUUGGAACAAUAUAUUGUGGGUUCAUAAAGAAGCAGCGAGACAGUUCUGAUGCUUUAAAGGGCCCAGACUCACUCAUCUUUAGAGGACUUGGAAAAUAUUGUAUCUAGUAUAUUUUUGCUAAUAUUGUUUUGGUUUUGUUUUUAUUUAAAUAAAUUACAUAAGUUCUAAA
Molecule: long non-coding RNA, 426 nt
Organism: Eurytemora carolleeae
Lineage: Eukaryota; Metazoa; Arthropoda; Copepoda; Calanoida; Temoridae
Exons: 3
Source: RefSeq, a predicted model, not a curated record